AUACGUAGGGUGCGAGCGUUGUCCGGAAUUACUGGGCGUAAAGAGCUCGUAGGUGGUUUGUCGCGUCGUCUGUGAAAUUCCGGGGCUUAACUCCGGGCGUGCAGGUGAUACGGGCAUAACUUGAGUACUGUAGGGGAGACUGGAAUUCCUGGGGUAGCGGUGAAAUGCGCAGUUAUCAGGAGGAACACCGGUGGCGAAGGGGGCGCUCUGGGCAGUAACUAACGCUGAGGAACGAAAGCAUGGGUAGCGAACAGGAUUAUAUGCCCUGGUAGUCCAUGCCGUAAACGGUGGGCGCUAGGUGUAGGGGUCUUCCACGACUUCUGUGCCGUAGCUAACGCAUUAAGCGCCCCGCCUGGGGAGUACGGCCGCAAGGCUAAAACUCAAAGGAAUUGACGGGG
This 398-nucleotide ribosomal RNA is filed under the name uncultured bacterium. RNAcentral describes it as "partial 16S ribosomal RNA". It matches the Rfam family "Bacterial small subunit ribosomal RNA", at positions 523 to 918 of the family's 1533-position model. The record is from RNAcentral.